GAAAAGAAAGCAAAUGGUGCGCAACUAUCUUGAAAAUAGUAUACGGAGGUUCGACCCCUUCUCUUUUCG
Molecule: transfer RNA, 69 nt
Filed under: Saccopharynx lavenbergi
Lineage: Eukaryota; Metazoa; Chordata; Actinopteri; Anguilliformes; Saccopharyngidae
Description: tRNA-Ser(UCN)
Rfam family: tRNA
About the family: Transfer RNA (tRNA) molecules are approximately 80 nucleotides in length.
Source: RNAcentral